Pararge aegeria (speckled wood butterfly) is the source of this 107-nucleotide small nuclear RNA. The record is from RefSeq and is a predicted model, not a curated record. Lineage: Eukaryota; Metazoa; Arthropoda; Insecta; Lepidoptera; Nymphalidae.
GUGCGCGCUUCGGCAGUACGUAUACUAAAAUCGGAACGAUACAGCGAAGUUUAGCAAGGCCCCUACGCAAGAAUGACACGCAACCUAGUGCAGCGUUCUAAAUUUUU